CAGCCGCCGCGGGAAAACGUAGGUGGCAAGCGUUGUCCGGAAUUAUUGGGCGUAAAGGGCUCGCAGGCGGUUUCUUAAGUCUGAUGUGAAAGCCCCCGGCUCAACCGGGGAGGGUCAUUGGAAACUGGGAAACUUGAGUGCAGAAGAGGAGAGUGGAAUUCCACGUGUAGCGGUGAAAUGCGUAGAGAUGUGGAGGAACACCAGUGGCGAAGGCGACUCUCUGGUCUGUAACUGACGCUGAGGAGCGAAAGCGUGGGGAGCGAACAGGAUUAGAGACCCCCGUAGUCCCUGUCUCUUAUAU
This 301-nucleotide ribosomal RNA is filed under the name uncultured bacterium. RNAcentral's name for it is "partial 16S ribosomal RNA". It matches the Rfam family "Bacterial small subunit ribosomal RNA", at positions 509 to 809 of the family's 1533-position model. The record is from RNAcentral.